GUGCCUAACACAUGCAAGUCGAGCGAGGAGAUCCUCGGGAUGAUCCUAGCGGCGGACGGGUGAGUAACACGUGGGCAACCUGCCUCAUAGAGAGGAAUAGCCUUCCGAAAGGGAGAUUAAUACCUCAUAACAUUGCAGUUUCGCAUGGAACAGCAAUUAAAGGAGCAAUCCGCUAUGAGAUGGGCCCGCGGCGCAUUAGCUAGUUGGUGAGGUAACGGCUCACCAAGGCGACGAUGCGUAGCCGACCUGAGAGGGUGAUCGGCCACAUUGGGACUGAGACACGGCCCAGACUCCUACGGGAGGCAGCAGUGGGGAAUAUUGCACAAUGGGGGAAACCCUGAUGCCAGCAACGCCGCGUGAGUGAUGACGGCCUUCGGGUUGUAAAGCUCUGUCUUCAGGGACGAUAAUGACGGUACCUGAGGAGGAAGCCACGGCUAACUACGUGCCAGCCGCCGC
This 456-nucleotide ribosomal RNA is filed under the name uncultured bacterium. RNAcentral describes it as "bacterial SSU rRNA". It matches the Rfam family "Bacterial small subunit ribosomal RNA", at positions 44 to 518 of the family's 1533-position model. The record is from RNAcentral.